AUGCACGCUGGCGGCGUGCCUAAUACAUGCCCGUCGCGCGAACAGACGAGGAGCUUGCUCCUCUGACGUUAGCGGCGGACGGGUGAGUAACACGUGGAUAACCUACCUAUAAGACUGGGAUAACUUCGGGAAACCGGAGCUAAUACCGGAUAAUAUAUUGAACCGCAUGGUUCAAUAGUGAAAGACGGUUUUGCUGUCACUUAUAGAUGGAUCCGCGCCGCAUUAGCUAGUUGGUAAGGUAACGGCUUACCAAGGCGACGAUGCGUAGCCGACCUGAGAGGGUGAUCGGCCACACUGGAACUGAGACACGGUCCAGACUCCUACGGGAGGCAGCAGUAGGGAAUCUUCCGCAAUGGGCGAAAGCCUGACGGAGCAACGCCGCGUGAGUGAUGAAGGUCUUCGGAUCGUAAAACUCUGUUAUUAGGGAAGAACAAAUGUGUAAGUAACUAUGCACGUCUUGACGGUACCUAAUCAGAAAGCCACGGCUAACUACGUG
This 496-nucleotide ribosomal RNA is filed under the name uncultured bacterium. RNAcentral describes it as "partial 16S ribosomal RNA". It matches the Rfam family "Bacterial small subunit ribosomal RNA", at positions 29 to 507 of the family's 1533-position model. The record is from RNAcentral.